This is a long non-coding RNA of Camponotus floridanus (Florida carpenter ant), 1130 nucleotides long. RefSeq lists it as uncharacterized. The record is from RefSeq and is a predicted model, not a curated record. The transcript is spliced from 7 exons. NCBI's taxonomy places the organism in Eukaryota, Metazoa, Arthropoda, Insecta, Hymenoptera, Formicidae.
AGUCUUUACCGACUUUUCAUCGAAGACAAAUUCGCUAAUAUCACGACAAUUAUAACCGCAACAAGAUGCAAUCCGCAGUUCCGAUAUUGUCUCUUCUCGUGAUAUUUGUGGUGAUUAACGGCAUAUAUACAUAUGAACUAACGAGAAGUGUAAGAUGUAUAAUAAUCAUCCGAUAUGCCACUGUAAAGACGGAUACAAAACAGACUUAUAUUCACAGUGUGUGAAAUCCGGAAGUAAAUAUUAAAUAUAAGUUAUACAUUAUUAUUUUUUGUUGCUAAUUAUACUAAAUUUACUUGAAGACGAUUGCAAUGGUAUUACUUGCGGAACUAAUGAAAAAUGUAAAAUGUAUAAUGAUGGAACGACCUGCUUGUGUAAAGAUGGUUAUAAAAGAAACUCAGAUACGAUAUGUGUGAAGGACAAAAGAGAUGAUUGCGAUAACGUUACUUGCGGAACUAACGAGAAGUGUAAGAUGUAUAAUGUAAGAUGUAUAAUAAUCCGAUAUGCCACUGUAAAGACGAAUACAAAAUAGACUCAUCUUUGCAAGCGUGUGUGAAAUCCGGAAACGGUUGCGAUAACAUUACUUGUGGAACUAACGAAGAAUAUACAAUACGUAAUCAUCAGCCAAUAUGUUGGUGUAAAGAUGGAUACGCGAAAAAUUCAGACACGGGAGAAUGUGAGUCAAAAGAUUAUUGAAAGGCAUGAUAUAGGUAUCUAGAAGAGUUCUGUCGACUAUAAUAAACCAUUUGCGACGACGGCUUUUGUUAUACGGAGCACGAAAACGGUUCAUCCGUGUGUCUUUAACAGUUUAAAAUAUUGCAAGUCGAAAUGCACGAGCAGAAUAAUGCACCCCGUUACGAAGACUAGUAUUAGAGAUUCUGGUGCUGGUUUGUCGAUUCCAUGCCACAUUUACGAAGCAGCUUAUGUUACCAGUUCACGUAAUUUCAGAGGACGGCCCUCGCCGCUCUAUAUGUGACAGAGUGCGUGACGUUAAAUUAUAAAAAGAUCGUUAGGAGAAGAAGACUUCUUUAUUAUGAAAAAGAAUUAUGAUUAAUAAACAACGCAAAAAUAAAAAAUAUUUAAUCGAAGAAACAUAUAUAUCGACUUCUCCUCAUCUUCUUUCAAGGAUCCCA